GGGGAUGUAGCGCAGUGGUAGAGUGCAUGCUUUGCAUGUGUGAGGCCCAGGUUCAAUCCCUGGCAUCUCCA
This 71-nucleotide transfer RNA is filed under the name Canis lupus familiaris (dog). It matches the Rfam family "tRNA". From Rfam's summary of the family: Transfer RNA (tRNA) molecules are approximately 80 nucleotides in length. Their secondary structure includes four short double-helical elements and three loops (D, anti-codon, and T loops). The record is from Rfam by way of RNAcentral. Lineage: Eukaryota; Metazoa; Chordata; Mammalia; Carnivora; Canidae.